RNAcentral lists this ribosomal RNA (488 nucleotides) under uncultured bacterium. RNAcentral's name for it is "bacterial SSU rRNA". It matches the Rfam family "Bacterial small subunit ribosomal RNA", at positions 28 to 507 of the family's 1533-position model. The record is from RNAcentral.
GACGAACGCUGGCGGCGUGGAUUAGGCAUGCAAGUCGAACGGUAUCAUCCUUUCGGGGAUGAGAGAGUGGCGAACGGGUGAGUAACACGUAGGUGAUCUACCCUCAAGACGGGGACAACCCAGGGAAACUUGGGCUAAUACCGGAUGUGAGCUAUCGCGAGAUAGUUUGAAAGGUGGCUUCGGCUGCCGCUUGGGGAUGAGCCUGCGUCCUAUUAGCUAGUUGGUGAGGUAACGGCUCACCGAGGCAGUGAUAGGUAGGCGGCCUUAACGGGUGGUCGCCCACACUGGGAUUGAGAUACGGCCCAGACUCCUACGGGAGGCAGCAGUCGAGAAUAGUCUACAAUGGUCGAAAGACUGAUAGUGCGACGCCGCGUGAACGAAGAAGCCCUUCGGGGUGUAAAGUUCUUUUAUAUGUGAGCAGUGCUUCUUAUAUUAACAGUAUGGGGAGAGAGAUAUUAGCAUAUGAAUAAGCAACGGCUAACUCCGUG